Molecule: ribosomal RNA, 506 nt
Filed under: uncultured bacterium
Lineage: Bacteria
Description: partial 16S ribosomal RNA
Rfam family: Bacterial small subunit ribosomal RNA
Source: RNAcentral
GAUGAACGCUAGCUACAGGCUUAACACAUGCAAGUCGAGGGGUAACGAGAGGAAAGCUUGCUUUCCUUGUCGACGACCGGCGCACGGGUGAGUAACGCGUAUCCAACCUGCCCCCAACUAGGGAAUAACCUUGCGAAAGUAAGACUAAUACCCUAUAAUUUCCUCAGAUGACAUCUGACGAGGAAUAAAGAUUUAUCGGUUGUGGAUGGGGAUGCGUCUGAUUAGCUUGUUGGCGGGGUAACGGCCCACCAAGGCAACGAUCAGUAGGGGUUUUUGGAGGAAGGUCCCCCACAUUGGAACUGAGACACGGUCCAAACUCCUACGGGAGGCAGCAGUGAGGAAUAUUGGUCAAUGGGCGGAAGCCUGAACCAGCCAAGUAGCGUGCAGGAUGACGGCCCUAUGGGUUGUAAACUGCUUUUAUACAGGAAUAAAGUUAGCCACGUGUGGUUAUUUGUAGGUACUGUAUGAAUAAGGACCGGCUAAUUCCGUGCCAGCAGCCGCCGUAA